This 493-nucleotide ribosomal RNA is filed under the name uncultured bacterium. Its description in RNAcentral is "partial 16S ribosomal RNA". It matches the Rfam family "Bacterial small subunit ribosomal RNA", at positions 29 to 523 of the family's 1533-position model. The record is from RNAcentral.
AUUGAACGCUGGCGGCAUGCUUUACACAUGCAAGUCGAACGGUAACAGGUUAAGCUGACGAGUGGCGAACGGGUGAGUAAUGCAUCGGAACGUGCCCGGUCGUGGGGGAUAACGCAGCGAAAGCUGCGCUAAUACCGCAUACGAUCUGAGGAUGAAAGCGGGGGCCCGUAAGGCCUCGCGCGAUCGGAGGGGCCGAUGUCAGAUUAGGUAGUUGGUGGGGUAAAGGCCCACCAAGCCGACGAUCUGUAGCUGGUCUGAGAGGACGACCAGCCACACUGGGACUGAGACACGGCCCAGACUCCUACGGGAGGCAGCAGUGGGGAAUUUUGGACAAUGGGCGAAAGCCUGAUCCAGCAAUGCCGCGUGCAGGAAGAAGGCCUUCGGGUUGUAAACUGCUUUUGUACGGAGCGAAAAGGUCCUUUCUAAUACAAGGGGCUCAUGACGGUACCGUAAGAAUAGGCACCGGCUAACUACGUGCCAGCCGCCGCCGUAA